GCGAAAGUAGCUCAGUUGGUAGAGCACAACCUUCCCAAGGUUGGGGUCGCGGGUUCGAGCCCCGUUUUUCGCUCGA
Molecule: transfer RNA, 76 nt
Filed under: Dysgonomonas mossii
Lineage: Bacteria; Pseudomonadati; Bacteroidota; Bacteroidia; Bacteroidales; Dysgonomonadaceae
Also listed under: 4 other names
Description: tRNA-Gly
Rfam family: tRNA
About the family: Transfer RNA (tRNA) molecules are approximately 80 nucleotides in length. Their secondary structure includes four short double-helical elements and three loops (D, anti-codon, and T loops).
Source: RNAcentral